GGUGAUUAGUGACAGAGUGAGGGAGGGGGUGACUAGUGACAGAGGGAGGGGUAACACAGUGACAGAGUAAGGGGGUGACUAGUGACAGAGUGAGGGAGCGGGUGACACAGUGACAGAGUUAGGGAGGGAGUAACUAGUGACAGAGAGAGGGAUGGGGUGACUAGUGACAGUCACCCCCCCCCUCACUCUGUCACUAGUCACCCCUUCCCUCCCUCACUCUGCCACUAGUCACCCAUUCCCUCACUCUGUCACUAGUCUCCCCCUCUCCUUCCCUCUGUCACUAGUCACCCACUCCCUCACUCUGUCACCAGUCACCCCCACUCAGUGUGUCU
Non-coding RNA from Pelobates cultripes (western spadefoot toad), 332 nucleotides. Lineage: Eukaryota; Metazoa; Chordata; Amphibia; Anura; Pelobatidae. The record is from the annotation of a GenBank genome assembly.